Molecule: RNA transcript, 3298 nt
Organism: Zea mays
Lineage: Eukaryota; Viridiplantae; Streptophyta; Magnoliopsida; Poales; Poaceae
Exons: 12
Source: RefSeq, marked validated
AUACAAUCGGUUUUACAAAUGUCUCAUUUUCUAUACUAAAUAUUUUUAUUAUUUUUAUCAUACUAUAAGGCAAUCAGAGCAGAUGGACAGACACAAUUGAGCCAUGAAAUAGCUUUGGAGCUAAGUCAGAGGAGUGCUGCUGCUGGACUAAGGCCGAUUGGAGCAGUGGUCUUCAUGCAACGGGGUGUCCUGAAGGUUUGCUUGAGGACUACUGACAGUACAGUUAAUACAUCAGAGAUUGCAAAGGCAUAUGGCGGAGGUGGAAAACGAAGUUCGAGUUCAUUCACUCUAAGAAUGGAUGAGUUCAACAUCUGGACUUCAGUGAACUCAUGAAUUGAACUGGAGAGGUCACAUAGUGUUCAUACUGUGGGAACUCGCAACCAGCUCAUCUGGGCAUGGAUUCCCUCCGUGGUGAACAUGUGAAGAUGGGGUGGUCUUUUUGUGCUCCGGUAUGAGAGGAAGGAAAACAAAAUCUUAGUCUAACCUACCAUGUUGAUAUGAGCUUACAGGAGAAUAAUCUCUUCGAUAUGAAUGACUGGAGAGCAAUUUGGAGGCAUAAUGCUUAAGCCGUUCAAGAGAAGAUUUGAUGCCUUCAAAUGAAAUAGGUUAUGCUGGUACAUCAAAAGACGUAUUUUAUGCUCUUUCUAAUCUUUAUCCAGUAGACCUAUGUGCUUAAUUUUAGAGAUGAUAAGGGUGGUGCGGGCCGAAGAUCUGUCAUACUCCUAGGGGCCAAUUAUAGCUUACACUUAUGUUGUUAUUAGUUUUGAAUGCUGAACAUACAUGGAGAUGGGUAGCUCAGCUCAGCUUGGAUAUAACUUGGUUUCUAUCCAAACUAAUACUUUGCUCCGUAGGGAAUGCAUCUGGCAACGGAAAUUGUUGUCAAGCUCCAGUAGCAGAAAGGAUCAUCUUCAAUUAUUGUAAUCCUGCUCCUUAAUAAUACAUUCUUGGAUCUUGCUCUGGGCUUAAAAAAUCUGCAUCACCAAAUUGUUCCUCGUUGCGAACAAUUAUGUAAUACAGAACCUUAGAAACUGGAAAUGUUUAUUCCAUUUCGGUAAUUUGGGAAUGAUCUGUGUUAAAAUCCUUUUUAAGUGUCAUACCACGCACUAUUUUUCUGUUCCUCAACUCUAUUGAUCCCAUAACCUAUUUCUGUUAACUGGUUACUAAGGACAUGUACAAUCCCAUAACCAAAUUGGUGGGUAUGCAAUGCGUCAAUGAAAAAACCAUUUCUUCAGUCCUGUAAUGUUGUUCCGAUUGCGUCAAUGAAAAAACUGUAAUUUUUGACCGGGGAGAUGGUAGCACUAGCAUGUGGGGAUUAAAGUUCCUAAAUGUUCAGUACUGUCCUAAACACUUGUUCUAUCUUUUUUGAGUGGAAGUCCGACGUCCGAGAGGGGCUCGCCAUUGGGCUUGGCAUGGGCACAGUCAUGCUGCUCCUCUUCUGCGGCUACUCGCUGGUGAUUUGAUAUGGCUCUAAGCUGAUCCUGGAGAUGGUGUACACCGGAGCCAAGGUCACAACAUGAUCUUUGUAGUCCUCACUGGUUCUCUUUUCUCAAAUUGACCAUGGUGUUGUAAAUUUGAUCAAUGAAGAAGAUUCAAGAAUUACCGUUUAUCACUGUGGUUCAAGAAAACUACCCGAAUCGUCUUGGGGUAUUGUUUGUCAUCCGCCUUCCUCCAGUUGUCAGAGUUAUUGCACAGACAUUUCUUCAAAUUGCAAUAUCACAUGGUAUCCGUGGAGAUGAGGACGACAUUGCCUCCAAGUCUGCUCCACCGGCAUCCAUCGAUGGUGCAAGGUACGGAUUCGAGCCUCCGGUCCUUCAAUCUAGCCACCAGGUAGAUUCGUCUCAGUGGUGGUCGGAUUCAUCUCGACGGUGGUCAGAUCCAGCAGAUAGAUUGAUGGCGAAGAGGACGACUCCAUGUCCAGGCGUACUCCCCGCCUUGCAUCGAGAUUGCUAGGUCAUAAUCGAAGGGUUUACAGGGAGGAGAUCUGAACAUAGCUCUUCAAUCCCAAAGUUAACAUCGUUGGUAAACCCCUUCUGGUGUUACCUCACAAAUAUCACUAAAGUCAUUUUAGCUUUUUGCUGCUCCUUAUGUGCUUCAGAUUCAGCAAGAGGUACUCUGCAAUUUUUGGAAGACUAAUACCUAACUUUUUUACUGGUCGACAUUUGCUUUGUGUAGGUUACCAUAAUUCUUACUGCUUGCAAGCCCUUUUAGAAUAUUACUGCUGCGAGGUUCUUGCAAGUCCUUGAUGAAGAAGUCGAAGGUGACGAACGCCGAGACCGUCAUCCUGAUCGACGCCAAGAACCUCACAGCGCACCUCCUUGAGAUCUCGUGGAAGGACAAGAUUUAAGAUGCACUACCAUGGUUGGCGGUCUAUUUACUGCAUCUCGAAGCGGCUUGCAUUCAAAGGUUCUGCACCUCUAAAUAUUUCUGGUCGUGAAGCUGUCUAUGAAAGGAAGAUGAAAAUUCAGCAAGUUGGAUUGAUUUAUCUUUCCCCCCUAUGGCUGAUUCAGCAACCUGUAUUAAAUAGUCUAUUUGACAUUUGAUAUUUCAAUGCUGUUAUAGGACUAUAUUGUACAGGACCUUGGAGGAGCUGACCAUGUGACAGACCUUGAUCAUAACCAUGUUGCAGAGUUGAAGAUAUUAGGACUAUAUUAAACAUUGCUGCAUAUAGCAUCAGACUUAGAAGUCAAACAACAUCAAACUUAUCAUCAGUUAUAUCCGUGAUCCAGCAACAACUUGGUUUCCGUCGCUGCCCAAACUUCAGGAGAGGCGAUCUAAGAAGAAGCAAGCGUACCGGCUCAUGUUCUGACGGCCGUGUUCACGUGGUGUAAGAUCUGCAUUGUGGAAUCCUUCGCCCGGACAAGAGAGAUUGGAUCCUCCCGUCCAGACAACCUGAUAGAACGACAGUGUAUAAGAACAGGGCUCUUAGGACGCCUUUUGUCAAGUUGGGUCAUAACUCUACCCUGAGAAUUGAGAUAGAUGAUCAUGUGGUGCAAGAUAUUGAGUCCCUCAUCUUUGAUGACACACAUAACAAAUGGUAAGCGUCUCCGUGGAUGGAGCCUGAAGUAUAUUCAAAUUCAAGGCAUGCCACAAAGCAUCUCGCGUGUGGGAUGCUCCGGCGUGUGGAAAGUAGAAAAGCCAAAUAAAUGGGUACAUGUACAGCAGGCGUGAGUUCUUAAAUACUCAGAUUCCUUGUCCAUAGGCAAAUGCAUAGUUCAUACGAAUCAGAGUGCACGAUGCACACAACUUGAUGUCUCUAUCGUUGUUUUCAACAUGAUGAACAUGCGAAUUUCGUGGUAUU